Molecule: ribosomal RNA, 214 nt
Filed under: uncultured bacterium
Lineage: Bacteria
Description: partial 16S ribosomal RNA
Rfam family: Bacterial small subunit ribosomal RNA
Source: RNAcentral
CUCAGUUCAGAUUGCAGGCUGCAACCCGCCUGCAUGAAGUCGGAAUUGCUAGUAAAUCGCGGAUCAGCAUGCCGCGGUGAAUACGUUCCCGGGCCUUGUACACACCGCCCGUCACACCAUGGGAGCCGGUAAUACCCGAAGUCAGUAGUCCAACCUCGUGAGGACGCUGCCGAAGGUAGGAUUGGCGACUGGGGUGAAGUCGUAACAAGGUAUC